Non-coding RNA from Dipodomys ordii (Ord's kangaroo rat), 65 nucleotides. Lineage: Eukaryota; Metazoa; Chordata; Mammalia; Rodentia; Heteromyidae. The record is from Rfam.
GGUGGCUCAGUGGUAGAGUGCUUGCCUUGCAUGCACGAGGCCCUGGGUUCGAUUCCCCAGCACCA